This 478-nucleotide unclassified non-coding RNA is filed under the name uncultured fungus. Its description in RNAcentral is "partial contains 5.8S ribosomal RNA, internal transcribed spacer 2, and large subunit ribosomal RNA". The stretch from base 1 to 52 matches the Rfam family "5.8S ribosomal RNA", at positions 103 to 154 of the family's 154-position model. RNAcentral also lists the same sequence under 1 other name. The record is from RNAcentral. Lineage: Eukaryota; Fungi.
AACGCACCUUGCGCCCUUUGGUAUUCCGAAGGGCAUGCCUGUUUGAGUGUCAUUAAAUUCUCAACCUUCCCUUCUUUCAUUAGGAGUGCGGCGGAUUGGAUAUGGGGGUUUGCUGGUUUCUAACGAGAUCAGCUCCUCUGAAAUGCAUUAGCAGAAACCGUUUGACUUUGGCUGCUAGGCUGUGAUAAUAUCUACGCCUUGGUAGUUGGGUCGGAAUACGAGUCAUACAGUGGUAACUAAUCAGGCUUUCGAGUCUGGCUUAGGAUCGGUUUGGAAGGUGCUUAACGGCUCCUUUUGCUUUCUCCCUUUGCGGAGAUACUUGUCCGAUUCUAAGAGAGGAGUUGCUUAGCGCGAGCUUAGCUUUCCUUGAUUUUUCCCCUUGACUUUGUAGAAGGAUUCAGCUUCUAACCGUCCAUUGACUUGGACAAUUUAUUGACUAUUUGACCUCAAAUCAGGUAGGACUACCCGCUGAACUUAA